CCCAAAUCUGAAGCUUUCCAUCUCGAAGUCGUGAUGGGUUUCUUCUCAAUCAAUGUCGCUUAGUAUGAGAAAUGAAUUGACUCUGUUUGGACGCACUACAGGACUUUUCACCGCUGACAUGAAGCUUCAUCUUCACAAGCUUAUCGAACAUGAGUGAUGAUGGAUCAGGCUGCCUGCCUUCCUUUUGAGUUUAUCUUGAGACGUCUGAUGUGGUGUAGUUCCCGUUGCUCACCCUUGCCGCUUUCCAUGUUGUUAGCCUUAGAUGAGCAGCUGAUUAUCUUGACAUGAAUCUUGUGUUGGUUUAGCUUAGACUUUCCUCAACCAAAUGUUUGGGACCUGGACCGAUUCUCUCAAGUCUCUUCAGACAUGUGCGCAAGAGUUUGAUUACACUGAAGAUCUUCACACUCUCUCUAGGACAAGGCCAAGAAGCCUCAAGGUGUGGCUAUGGGAAGGCUCAUACUCAGUGACAACGGAGACAUGCAGAGUGAUGCUUAGUUGGAAAAAUAAAAUAUGCAGCUUGUAUGUACAGUAUAAAGUUAGCACAGUGACAUAUUCUGAUAGUCUUUUGAUCACAGCGAAUUAUGAAACUUCUGCUACAAGAUGUCAAGUUUGACACGAGGAAUAAUGAGAGUUUGCUAUAUAUCGUUGGUGUGCUAAUACUGGUUUGAGUUGGUUCAGUUUCGAAUGAGCAAAAGCGAGUUUCAGAAUUUCAGUGGUUGGGUUUGUCUAGUAGCGCACAUUUGUGGAGACUGUUAUCUGGAACUAGGGUUGAAGCUCUUGCUAAGAGAUGUUAAGAGAAAUAGAUGGUAUAAAGCAACAAACAUUCAAGCUCCAGCUGGGAAGAUUCAGAGGCUUCUGGUUUUGGUUUCCAGUACAUAUGAGAAGCUUACUUGCCCCUGAAACUGCAGCAGCAAGAUUGGCUCUGACUAACUAUACAUACCAGGUGCGGGUAUGGAGAGAAGUAAGAUCAAUCCUACAAAGACUGAUGGUAUAAAGAUCUCAGUGGAGAUGAUCCAAGCAAGCAAGAGACCUUGGCAGGUUUAUGGUCAUACCAGACAUUCUCAAGCAUACUCCAAUGUUCAAGCGCUUAGAUGCUAGAAUCAAGGUUUUACUCAAGGAAUCACUUCUCAACACCCCCUCUUGAUUCCUUGAGUUGUUGCCUCGGUUCCAGCUCAGAAUUUUAAAGUUUGAUACCUUUGAAGUGCCUCUGUUUUCUCCUUUGCUUAUUGAAGGUAUGCUCAUAAGAACACUUGCAUAGCUCCUUGUUGCUUUGCUGAGAAGUCUCUUUGUCCUAGCUCCUUCUUGCAGACUUGUGGCUUGACAUACACAGGGGAAUUUGUGAACGUUGAGUAUGAUGAAUUGAUGAUGGAGGUAUGAAACCUGAGCGGCCAUCUGGUAGAGGGAGAGGUGGAGGAUGUGGUGGUCAUGAAAGAGGAUGUUACAGUGGACCUCCACCAUACUAUGAAGCUCAACAAGAUGGAGGAGAUUAUGGAUA
Long non-coding RNA from Brassica oleracea var. oleracea, 1495 nucleotides. RefSeq lists it as uncharacterized. Lineage: Eukaryota; Viridiplantae; Streptophyta; Magnoliopsida; Brassicales; Brassicaceae. The transcript is spliced from 6 exons. The record is from RefSeq and is a predicted model, not a curated record.